RNAcentral lists this ribosomal RNA (427 nucleotides) under uncultured prokaryote. Its description in RNAcentral is "bacterial SSU rRNA". It matches the Rfam family "Bacterial small subunit ribosomal RNA", at positions 355 to 796 of the family's 1533-position model. The record is from RNAcentral.
UGGGGAAUUUUCCGCAAUGGGCGAAAGCCUGACGGAGCAAUACCGCGUGAGGGAGGAAGGCUUUUGGGUUGUAAACCUCUUUUUUCAAGGAAGAAGCAAGUGACGGUACUUGAAGAAUCAGCAUCGGCUAACUCCGUGCCAGCAGCCGCGGUAAUACGGAGGAUGCAAGCGUUAUCCGGAAUCAUUGGGCGUAAAGCGUCCGCAGGUGGCUGUUCAAGUCUGCUGUCAAAGACAGAAGCUUAACUUCUGAAAGGCAGUGGAAACUGGAGAGCUAGAGUACGGUAGGGGUUGAGGGAAUUCCCAGUGUAGCGGUGAAAUGCGUAGAUAUUGGGAAGAACACCAGUGGCGAAGGCGCUCAACUGGGCCGUAACUGACACUCAGGGACGAAAGCUAGGGGAGCGAAAGGGAUUAGAUACCCGCGUAGUCC